UGCCAGCAGCCGCGGUAAUACGGAGAGUGCAAACGUUGUUCGGAAUCAUUGGGCGUAAAGCGCGCGUAGGCGGCUAGUUAGGUCGGGUGUGAAAGCCCAGGGCUCAACCCUGGAACUGCGCUCGAAACCGGCUAGCUUGAGUUCUUGAGGGAGAAGUGGAAUUCCUGGUGCAGGGGUGAAAUCCGUAGAGAUCAGGAGGAACACCGGUGGCGAAGGCGACUUCUUAGCAAGACACUGACGCUGAGGUGCGAAAGCGUGGGUAGCAAACAGGAUUAGAUA
This 279-nucleotide ribosomal RNA is filed under the name uncultured bacterium. Its description in RNAcentral is "partial 16S ribosomal RNA". It matches the Rfam family "Bacterial small subunit ribosomal RNA", at positions 506 to 784 of the family's 1533-position model. The record is from RNAcentral.